RNAcentral lists this ribosomal RNA (97 nucleotides) under Erinaceus europaeus (western European hedgehog). The record is from RNAcentral. Lineage: Eukaryota; Metazoa; Chordata; Mammalia; Eulipotyphla; Erinaceidae.
GUCUAUGGCCAUACCACCCUGAACACGCCCGAUCUCGUCUGAUCUCGGAAGCUAAGCAGGGAUGGGAGGAGGAGAGAGACACAGAGACCUGUAGCCC